GGAAGAGAUAAGUGCUGAAAGCAUCUAAGCACGAAACUUGCCCCGAGAUGAGUUCUCCCUGACUCCUUGAGAGUCCUGAAGGAACGUUGAAGACGACGACGUUGAUAGGCCGGGUGUGUAAGCGCAGCGAUGCGUUGAGCUAACCGGUACUAAUGAACCGUGAGGCUUAACCUUACAACGCCGAAGCUGUU
Molecule: ribosomal RNA, 191 nt
Filed under: Escherichia coli
Lineage: Bacteria; Pseudomonadati; Pseudomonadota; Gammaproteobacteria; Enterobacterales; Enterobacteriaceae
Also listed under: 1 other name
Description: partial 23S ribosomal RNA
Rfam family: Bacterial large subunit ribosomal RNA
Source: RNAcentral